AUGGUUCGCCAGUGCACAGUUUGUUAAAGGUGGACUAUUCUAACUCCUGAUUGAUAUUUGGACGCGUUCCUAUAAAUACUGAGCUUAGACAAUGAUCGAUUUCACUCUUGAAUUU
Molecule: long non-coding RNA, 115 nt
Organism: Sitophilus oryzae (rice weevil)
Lineage: Eukaryota; Metazoa; Arthropoda; Insecta; Coleoptera; Curculionidae
Exons: 2
Source: RefSeq, a predicted model, not a curated record